GACGAACGCUGGCGGCGUGCCUAAUACAUGCAAGUCGAGCGCAGGAAGCCGCCUGAACCCUUCGAGGGGACGACGGUGGAAUGAGCGGCGGACGGGUGAGUAACACGUAAAGAACCUGCCCACGGGUCUGGGAUAACCACGAGAAAUCGGGGCUAAUACCGGACGGGUCAUCGGACCGCAUGGUCCGAGGAUGAAAGGCGCUCCGGCGUCGCCCGUGGAUGGCUUUGCGGUGCAUUAGCUAGUUGGUGGGGUAACGGCCCACCAAGGCGACGAGGCAUAGCCGACCUGAGAGGGUGAUCGGCCACACUGGGAGUGAGACACGGCCCAGACUCCUACGGGAGUCAGCAGUAGGGAAUCUUCCACAAUGGACGAAAGUCUGAUGGAGCAACGCCGCGUGAACGAUGAAGGCCCUCGGGUCGUAAAGUUCUGUUGUAAGGGAAGAACAAGUGCCGCAGGCAAUGGCGGCACCUUGACGGUACCUUGCGAGAAAGCCACGGCUAACUACGUGCCAGCCGCCGCGGUAA
RNAcentral lists this ribosomal RNA (524 nucleotides) under uncultured bacterium. Its description in RNAcentral is "partial 16S ribosomal RNA". It matches the Rfam family "Bacterial small subunit ribosomal RNA", at positions 28 to 523 of the family's 1533-position model. The record is from RNAcentral.